Octopus bimaculoides (California two-spot octopus) is the source of this 156-nucleotide non-coding RNA. The record is from Rfam. Lineage: Eukaryota; Metazoa; Mollusca; Cephalopoda; Octopoda; Octopodidae.
UCAACUCGGCUACGGCUAUCCCGUCCAGUACGAGAGGAACCGCGGGAUCAGAGCAACGGUUUGCGCGCUCGCUCGAUAGAGCGGUGGUGCCAGGCUGCCUCUGAGCGAUAACGGCUGAACGCCUCUAAGCCGGAACCGUAGCCGGACCCGAGUUGU